RNAcentral lists this ribosomal RNA (429 nucleotides) under uncultured archaeon. RNAcentral's name for it is "bacterial SSU rRNA". It matches the Rfam family "Archaeal small subunit ribosomal RNA", at positions 474 to 903 of the family's 1478-position model. The record is from RNAcentral.
UACCAGCUCUCCGAGUGGUGUGGAUGUUUAUUGGGCCUAAAGCAUCCGUAGCUGGCUGGACAAGCCCCCUGUUAAAUCCACCGAUUUAAUCGUUGGUGUGCGGGGGAUACUGUUCGGCUAGGGGACGGGAGAGGCAGACGGUAUUUUCGGGGUAGGGGUGAAAUCCUAUAAUCCCGGGAAGACCACCAGUGGCGAAGGCUGUCUGCUAGAACGCGCCCGACGGUGAGGGAUGAAAGCUGGGGGAGCGAACCGGAUUAGAUACCCGGGUAGUCCCAGCUGUAAACGAUGCAGGCUAGGUGUUUGGACGGCCACGUGCCGUUCUAGUGCCGCAGGGAAGCCGUUAAGCCUGCCGCCUGGGGAGUACGGCCGCAAGGCUGAAACUUAAAGGAAUUGGCGGGGGAGCACCACAAGGGGUGAAGCUUGCGGUUU